CAUGCAUGUCUAAGUUCAAGCGAAAAUAAAGUGAAACCGCGAAUGGCUCAUUACAUCAGUUAUGGUUCCUUAGAUCGCACUUACUACUUGGAUAACUGUGGUAAUUCUAGAGCUAAUACAUGCGCUGGGCCCCAACCCUCGUGGAAGGGGCGCUUUUAUUAGAUCAAAGCCAAUCGGGUCUUCGGAUCCGUUCUAUGGUGACUCUGAAUAACUUUGCUGAUCGCAUGGUCUCGUACCGGCGACGUAUCUUUCAAGUGUCUGCCUUAUCAACUUUCGAUGGUAGGUUAUGCGCCUACCAUGGUUGUAACGGGUAACGGGGAAUUAGGGUUCGAUUCCGGAGAGGGAGCCUGAGAAACGGCUACCACAUCCAAGGAAGGCAGCAGGCGCGCAAAUUACCCACUCCCAGCACGGGGAGGUAGUGACGAAAAAUAACGAUGCUAAACUCAUACGAGGCUUAGCAAUCGGAAUGAGUACACUUUAAAUCCUUUAACAAGGAUCUAUUGGAGGGCAAGUCUGGUGCCAGCAGCCGCGGUAAUUCCAGCUCCAAUAGCGUAUAUUAAUGUUGCUGUUGUUAAAAAGCUCGUAGUUGGAUCUCGGUUUCGGGGAGGCGGUCCGGCUUGCGCCGGUUACUGUCACCUCGGACGAUUAUGUUGGUUCGUUCAUGGUGCUCUUAACCGGGUGCCUUGAGUGGCCAGCACGUUUACUUUGAAAAAAUUGGAGUGCUCAAGGCAGGCGCUACAGCCUGAACAUUUGUGCAUGGAAUAAUGGAAUAGGAUCUCGGUUCUAUUUCGUUGGCUUUCGGAGUCGAGGUAAUGAUUAAUAGGGACAGACGGGGGCAUUCGUACUGCGACGUUAGAGGUGAAAUUCUUGGAUCGUCGCAAGACGAACUACUGCGAAAGCAUUUGCCAAGAAUGUUUUCAUUAAUCAAGAACGAAAGUUAGAGGUUCGAAGGCGAUCAGAUACCGCCCUAGUUCUAACCAUAAACGAUGUCGACUGGCGAUCCGGCUCCGUUAACUGAAUGACUAGCCGGGCAGUCUCCGGGAAACCAAAGUUUUUGGAUUCAAGGGGAAGUAUGGUUGCAAAGCUGAAACUUAAAGGAAUUGACGGAAGGGCACCACCAGGAGUGGAGCCUGCGGCUUAAUUUGACUCAACACGGGAAAACUCACCAGGCCCGGACACCGGAAGGAUUGACAGAUUGAGAGCUCUUUCUUGAUUCGGUGGGUGGUGGUGCAUGGCCGUUCUUAGUUGGUGGAGCGAUUUGUCUGGUUAAUUCCGAUAACGAACGAGACUCUGGCCUACUAACUAGACGGAGAAUCCCUUGUGGGUUCUCUGCAGCUUCUUAGAGGGACGGGCGGCGUUUAGCCGCACGAGAUUGAGCAAUAACAGGUCUGUGAUGCCCUUAGAUGUUCUGGGCCGCACGCGCGCUACACUGAAGGACUCAGCAUGUGUUCCCUGCCUGAAAGGGCCGGGAAACCCUCUGAACCUCCUUCGUGAUGGGGAUUGGGGAUUGCAAUUAUUCCCCAUGAACGAGGAAUUCCUAGUAGGCGUGAGUCAUCAGCUUGCGUCGAUUACGUCCCUGCCCUUUGUACACACCGCCCGUCGCUACUACCGAUCGAGUGAUUUAGUGAGGCCUUUGGACUGGUCUUCGUUAUGGCUUUCGGGUCGUGCCGG
RNAcentral lists this ribosomal RNA (1671 nucleotides) under Pseudosinella tumula. Its description in RNAcentral is "SSU rRNA". It matches the Rfam family "Eukaryotic small subunit ribosomal RNA". Lineage: Eukaryota; Metazoa; Arthropoda; Collembola; Entomobryomorpha; Entomobryidae. The record is from RNAcentral.